This 354-nucleotide unclassified non-coding RNA is filed under the name soil metagenome. Its description in RNAcentral is "partial contains 5.8S ribosomal RNA, internal transcribed spacer 2, and large subunit ribosomal RNA". The stretch from base 1 to 120 matches the Rfam family "5.8S ribosomal RNA", at positions 35 to 154 of the family's 154-position model. The record is from RNAcentral.
GAUGAAGAACGCAGCGAAAUGCGAUAAGUAAUGUGAAUUGCAGAAUUCCGUGAAUCAUCGAAUCUUUGAACGCACAUUGCGCCCCCUGGCAUUCCGGGGGGCAUGCCUGUCCGAGCGUCAUUUCUGCCCUCCAGCCCGGCUGGGUGUUGGGCGCUGUCCCCCCGGGGACACGCCCCAAAGGCAGUGGCGGCGCCGCGUCGGGUCCUCGAGCGUAUGGGGCUUUGUCACCCGCUCGGGACGGACUCGUCGGCGCUGGUCUUCCUCCAGGCGAGCCUUCGGGGCUCGUCUUCCUUCGGUUGACCUCGGAUCAGGUAGGGUUACCCGCUGAACUUAAGCAUAUCAAUAAGCGGAGGA